GAGGUGGGACGAUCACUUGAGUCCAGGGAGGUCAAGGCUACAGUGAGUUGUGAUCAUGUCACUGCACUCCAGCCUGAGUGACAGAGCAAGAUCCUGUCUC
Rhinopithecus bieti (black snub-nosed monkey) is the source of this 100-nucleotide microRNA precursor. Lineage: Eukaryota; Metazoa; Chordata; Mammalia; Primates; Cercopithecidae. The record is from Ensembl.